CCCUAGUACGGCGAGUGAAGCGGGAAAAGCUCAAAUUUGAAAUCUGGUGGCCUCAGGCCAUCCGAGUUGUAAUCUAUAGAAACGUUUUCCGCGCCGGCCCAUGUACAAGUCCCUUGGAACAGGGCGUCAUAGAGGGUGAGAAUCCCGUCCUUGACACGGACCACCGGUGCUUUGUGAUACGUUUUCAACGAGUCGAGUUGUUUGGGAAUGCAGCUCAAAAUGGGUGGUAAAUUCCAUCUAAAGCUAAAUAUUGGCGAGAGACCGAUAGCGAACAAGUACCGUGAGGGAAAGAUGAAAAGCACUUUGGAAAGAGAGUUAAACAGUAUGUGAAAUUGUUGAAAGGGAAACGAUUGAAGUCAGUCGUGUCUAUUGGACUCAGCCGGUUCUGCCGGUGUACUUCCUUUAGAUGGGGUCAACAUCAGUUUUGAUCGCUGGAAAAGGGCGGGAGGAAUGUAGCACUCUCGGGUGAACUUAUAGCCUUCCGUCGUAUACAGUGGUUGGGACUGAGGAACGCAGCAUGCCUUUAUGGCCGGGGUUCGCCCACGUACAUGCUUAGGAUGUUGACAUAAUGGCUUCAAACGACCCGUCU
RNAcentral lists this ribosomal RNA (589 nucleotides) under Solicoccozyma aeria. RNAcentral describes it as "eukaryotic LSU rRNA". It matches the Rfam family "Eukaryotic large subunit ribosomal RNA", at positions 78 to 654 of the family's 3401-position model. Lineage: Eukaryota; Fungi; Basidiomycota; Tremellomycetes; Filobasidiales; Piskurozymaceae. The record is from RNAcentral.